AGGAUGCAGUUCAGAAUUCUGUGUUUCAUACAGCAACAGUUAUAGCAAACUCCUUUAUGCAUUGUGGUACAACCAGGGACCGGCUCCUUAGAGAUGAUUUGGAGCGGCUGGCCAGGGCCACUAACUGGGCUAAGUUUACUGCUAUUGCCAGCUUGGGUGUUAUACACAGGGGUCAUGAGAAAGAAGCAUUGCAGCUAAUGGCAACUGACCUACCCAAGGAGACCUCGCCAGGGUCAGCAUACCAGGAAGGUGGGGGCCUGUAUGCCUUGGCUCUCAUUCAUGAUAGCCAUGGUGGGGACAUCACUGGUUAUUUGCUGAACCAGCUGAAGAAAGCCAGUAUUUAUAUUGUCUGACAUGGUGGCAGCCUGGGUUUUGGUCUGGCUGCCAUGGGGACAGCAGGUCCAGAUGUGUACGAUUUGCUGAAAACAAAUCUAUACCAGGAUGAUGCAGUGACAGCUGAGACAGCUGGCUUGGCACUGGAACUGGAUAUGUUGUGAUCUAAAAAUGCUCAAGCUAUUGAGGACAUGGUUGGCUAUGCACAGGAAACCCAGCAUGAGAUGGUUUUGCGAGGCCUUGCAGUUGGGAUUGCUCUGGUCAUGUAUGGGAGAAUGGAGGAGGCAGAUGCUCUCAUUGAGAGUCUGUGCAGAG
Molecule: long non-coding RNA, 648 nt
Organism: Neopsephotus bourkii (Bourke's parrot)
Lineage: Eukaryota; Metazoa; Chordata; Aves; Psittaciformes; Psittacidae
Exons: 5
Source: RefSeq, a predicted model, not a curated record